RNAcentral lists this transfer RNA (55 nucleotides) under Celleporella hyalina. RNAcentral's name for it is "tRNA-Ser". The record is from RNAcentral. Lineage: Eukaryota; Metazoa; Bryozoa; Gymnolaemata; Cheilostomatida; Hippothoidae.
AGGUUUUUAUUUUAGAUUUGAAAUCUGUUAGAGAAGUAUAUACUUCAAAAAUCUA